This 253-nucleotide ribosomal RNA is filed under the name uncultured bacterium. RNAcentral describes it as "partial 16S ribosomal RNA". It matches the Rfam family "Bacterial small subunit ribosomal RNA", at positions 524 to 776 of the family's 1533-position model. The record is from RNAcentral.
UACAGAGGGUGCAAGCGUUAAUCGGAAUUACUGGGCGUAAAGCGUACGUAGACGGUUGGAUAAGUCAGAUGUGAAAGCCCCGGGCUCAACCUGGGAAUGGCAUUUGAGACUGUUCAGCUAGGGUGCGGAAGAGGGAAGCGGAAUUUCCGGUGUAGCGGUGAAAUGCGUAGAUAUCGGAAGGAACAUCAGUGGCGAAAGCGGCUUCCUGGUCCAGCACCGACGUUCAGGCACGAAAGCGUGGGGAGCAAACAGG